UGAGGAAUUUUUCACAAUGGACGAAAGUCUGAUGGAGCAAUACCACGUGAACGAUGAAGGUCUUCUGAUUGUAAAGUUCUUUUAUUUAGGAAAAAAAGCGUGCUAGGAAAUGAGUGCGCCUUGAUGGUACUAAUUGAAUAAGUGACAGCUAACUAUGUGCCAGCAGCUGCGGUAAAACAUAGGUCACGAGCAUUAUCCGGAUUUAUUGGGCGUAAAGGAAGCGUAGGCGGGGAGGUUGAUCCAUUGUUAAAAGCAUUUGCUUAACAAAUGUGUGCAUUGGAGAUCGCCUCCCUAGAGUUAAUCAGGGGGUACUGGAAUUCAAUGUGUAGCGGUGGAAUGCGUAGAUAUAUUGAGGAACACCAGAGGCUAAGGCGAGUGCCUAGGAUAUAACUGACGCUGAGGCUUGAAAGCGUGGGGAGCAAAUGGGAUUAGACUACCCAGUACGUCCACGCCGUAAACGAUGAGC
This 466-nucleotide ribosomal RNA is filed under the name uncultured bacterium. RNAcentral's name for it is "bacterial SSU rRNA". It matches the Rfam family "Bacterial small subunit ribosomal RNA", at positions 355 to 814 of the family's 1533-position model. The record is from RNAcentral.